GAUGAACGCUGGCGGCGUGCCUAAUACAUGCAAGUCGAGCGAACGGGCGAGAAGCUUGCUUCUCUGAUGUUAGCGGCGGACGGGUGAGUAACACGUGGAUAACCUACCUAUAAGACUGGGAUAACUUCGGGAAACCGGAGCUAAUACCGGAUAAUAUUUUGAACCGCAUGGUUCAAAAGUGAAAGACGGUCUUGCUGUCACUUAUAGAUGGAUCCGCGCUGCAUUAGCUAGUUGGUAAGGUAACGGCUUACCAAGGCAACGAUGCAUAGCCGACCUGAGAGGGUGAUCGGCCACACUGGAACUGAGACACGGUCCAGACUCCUACGGGAGGCAGCAGUAGGGAAUCUUCCGCAAAGGGCGAAAGCCUGACGGAGCAACGCCGCGUGAGUGAUGAAGGUCUUCGGAUCGUAAAACUCUGUUAUUAGGGAAGAACAUAUGUGUAAGUAACUGUGCACAUCUUGACGGUACCUAAUCAGAAAGCCACGGCUAACUACGUG
RNAcentral lists this ribosomal RNA (497 nucleotides) under uncultured bacterium. Its description in RNAcentral is "partial 16S ribosomal RNA". It matches the Rfam family "Bacterial small subunit ribosomal RNA", at positions 28 to 507 of the family's 1533-position model. The record is from RNAcentral.